AUGGGGAUGGGAACAGCUCAGCCCUUGACCCAAACCCUGACUCUUGGAACCCAAAUUGUGACCCUUGGACUGACCCAUCCUCCUGCUCCUGUGCUCCUGGUGAUCCUCCCAGUCCGGGCGGCCGUGACCCUGCUGGAGUCCGGGGGGGACCUCCAGCCCCCCGGGGGGUCCCUGCGCCUCCUCUGCCGCGGCUCCGGCUUCGAUUUCGGGAAGUUUGGGGUGGGCUGGAUGCGCCAGAGACCCGGGCAGGGGCUGGAAUAUCUCACAGCGAUCGACAGCAGUGGUGCUUCCACCGUGUACGCGCCAUCGGUCAGGGGCCGGUUCAGGAUCUCCAGGGACAACGGGCAGAGAUCGGUGACGCUGACCAUGAGCAGCCUCAAGGACGAGGAUUCCGGAUCCUAUUUCUGCGGGAAAUGUUUUGCCGCUGGUUAUCCUAAUGCUUAUGGUAGCCCGGCCCCGCUGAGCCCAGGCGCCUUUCAGGAGCUGCGAGAGCCACGGGGGCAGCCCCGAGUCGCCUUCUCCCCAGGCUGA
This is a non-coding RNA of Motacilla alba alba, 531 nucleotides long. NCBI's taxonomy places the organism in Eukaryota, Metazoa, Chordata, Aves, Passeriformes, Motacillidae. The record is from the annotation of a RefSeq genome assembly.